GCGCCGGGAGUGUAAGGCGUAGCACCGCUGCCCGGAAAGCAGAAGGUGCAGGUUCGAGUCAUGCCUGGCCCA
Molecule: non-coding RNA, 72 nt
Organism: Heligmosomoides polygyrus
Lineage: Eukaryota; Metazoa; Nematoda; Chromadorea; Rhabditida; Heligmosomidae
Source: Rfam